This 76-nucleotide ribosomal RNA is filed under the name Butyrivibrio sp. X503. Its description in RNAcentral is "partial 23S ribosomal RNA". The record is from RNAcentral. Lineage: Bacteria; Bacillati; Bacillota; Clostridia; Lachnospirales; Lachnospiraceae.
UGGUUAAGCUUUAUAGGGCGCAGGGCGGAUGCCUUGGCACUAAGAGCCGAAGAAAGACGUGAUAAGCUGCGAAAAG